GUGAAGAACGUAGCGAAAUGCGAUAAGUAGUGUGAAUUGCAGAAUUCAGUGAAUCAUCGAAUCUUUGAACGCACAUUGCGCCCCUUGGUAUUCCCUGGGGCAUGCCUGUUCGAGCGUCAUUUGUACCUUCAAGCUUUGCUUGGUGUUGGGUGUUUGUCCAUUCUCUUGCAGAGGGACUCGCCUUAAAGUAAUUGGCAGCCAGUGUUUUGGUUUUGAAGCGCAGCACAAGUCGCGAUUCAACGCUAUACGCCAGCUUCCACAAGCCUUUUUCACUUUUGACCUCGGAUCAGGUAGGGAUACCCGCUGAACUUAAGCAUAUCAAUAAGCGGAGGA
This 333-nucleotide unclassified non-coding RNA is filed under the name soil metagenome. RNAcentral describes it as "partial contains 5.8S ribosomal RNA, internal transcribed spacer 2, and large subunit ribosomal RNA". The stretch from base 2 to 119 matches the Rfam family "5.8S ribosomal RNA", at positions 37 to 154 of the family's 154-position model. The record is from RNAcentral.